CGCGUAGGCGGUUUCUUAAGUCAGAUGUGAAAUCCCGGGGCCUUAACCCCGGAAAGUGCAUUUGAAACUAAAGGGACUUGAGUAUGGGAGAGGGAAGUGAAUUCCUGGUGUAGAGGUGAAAUUCGUAGAUAUCAGGAGGAACACCGGUGGCGAAGGCGACUUCCUGACCAAUACUGACGCUGAGGCGCGAAGGCGUGGGGAGCAAAC
This 207-nucleotide ribosomal RNA is filed under the name uncultured bacterium. RNAcentral describes it as "partial 16S ribosomal RNA". It matches the Rfam family "Bacterial small subunit ribosomal RNA", at positions 568 to 773 of the family's 1533-position model. The record is from RNAcentral.